This 555-nucleotide long non-coding RNA is filed under the name Drosophila guanche. Lineage: Eukaryota; Metazoa; Arthropoda; Insecta; Diptera; Drosophilidae. The record is from RNAcentral.
UGUGUGCGAGACCAGACGACGAACGACGCAGAUAUCUAAUUCUUGUACCGUUAUACCAUACUUAAUCACUUAUUAACCUUUACUUAUAAACAAUAAACAUAAACCCCCACAUUUUUGGAGGCUCGUCCCGGGAAUUGAAGUAAGAUUUAAAGAAGGCCCCACAUUUUUGGGGCUCAUCCCGUAGAUUGAAGUAAGAUUUAAAGAAGGCCCCACAUUUUUUGAGGCUCGUACGUGUGUGAAGGAACAUCGUGUGAAGAAUAAGUGAAAACCUAUAAGUAACUGUACGACGACGACGGCGGUGCAAGAAACGUUAUUUCUGAAAACGACGCGGAUAUUAACAAGUUUAAAAAAGCAGAGUAAUCUAAAUAGACGAUUUUUUUUUUAUCUCAGCAAAAUGACGUGUUUAAACGAGUUAAUUCCGAAAAGCCUACGAGGAGCAACGAAAUCCAGCAUUUGUGCAUUACACAAAUUUGUGUAUGAGAGAGAAGGAGACAGAGGUAACCGAGGCCGGCUGCGCGAAUUUAGUGGAUUCGAAUACGACGAAAACGACGCCAG